GUGGGGAAUAUUGCACAAUGGAGGAAACUCUGAUGCAGCGACGCCGCGUGAGUGAAGAAGUAUUUCGGUAUGUAAAGCUCUAUCAGCAGGGAAGAAAAUGACGGUACCUGACUAAGAAGCACCGGCUAAAUACGUGCCAGCAGCCGCGGUAAUACGUAUGGUGCAAGCGUUAUCCGGAUUUACUGGGUGUAAAGGGAGCGUAGGUGGCAAGGCAAGCCAGAAGUGAAAACCCGGGGCUCAACCGCGGGAUUGCUUUUGGAACUGUCAUGCUAGAGUGCAGGAGGGGUGAGCGGAAUUCCUAGUGUAGCGGUGAAAUGCGUAGAUAUUAGGAGGAACACCGGAGGCGAAGGCGGCUCACUGGACUGUAACUGACACUGAGGCUCGAAAGCGUGGGGAGCAAACAGGAUUAGAAACCCCUGUAGUCC
RNAcentral lists this ribosomal RNA (425 nucleotides) under uncultured bacterium. Its description in RNAcentral is "partial 16S ribosomal RNA". It matches the Rfam family "Bacterial small subunit ribosomal RNA", at positions 354 to 796 of the family's 1533-position model. The record is from RNAcentral.